Molecule: ribosomal RNA, 259 nt
Filed under: uncultured bacterium
Lineage: Bacteria
Description: partial small subunit ribosomal RNA
Rfam family: Bacterial small subunit ribosomal RNA
Source: RNAcentral
AGAUUGAACGCUGGCGGCGUGCCUAACACAUGCAAGUCGAGCGGUAACAGGUGUAGCAAUACAUGCUGACGAGCGGCGAACGGGUGAGUAAUGCUUUGGAAUCUUCCCAGUAGUGGGGAAUAACCAGUCGAAAGAUUGGCUAAUACCGCAUACGUCUGUAAAGGGAAAGCGGGGGCUCGUAAGACCUCGCGCUAUUGGAUGAGCCAAAGUCGGAUUAGCUAGUUGGCGGGGUAAUGGCCCACCAAGACAGUGAUCGGUA